GGUAAAACAAAAGCUUGAAGGGUAAAAUUGAAUGAAAAAACCAGAUAUAUGGUUGCCCUAGAAUACUCAUAUAAAGGGCUCAUUUCACUCACUUUGAGAGCAGAGAAAAACAUAGAAAAAAGAAGAAAAAGACUGCAUACAUAGAAAUAGAAGUUUUCAUAAAAAACAAAGAAAAUGGUUGGAUUUCAGUUCUGAUAUCGAAUUUUUCACUUCAUUUCUUUCUGGAUUUCUGGAUUUGUCAUUUGUUGUGUAGCUGGGAUAUUGAAGCUGUUUUCCUGGUAUUUCUACCGUUUAGACUUGUUGAAUCUCUCCAUUUUUGGCCUUUUUAGCCUUUAUUUGGCAAAAUCCAGUUUUUGUUUACAAAUCUAGGUGCACCUCUCACUCUUGUACUUCUAUUUUCAAUUUGAGAUGAAAUGUUUGGUUGUUCUUUGUUUGUCUGUUGAGGUGGUGUAAAUUAUUGCUUAUCUUGUCUUGAAUCUUGAAUUAAUGUGAGCUUAAUAUGUUUAAGGAUGGAAACUUGCUUUUAGAUUUGCCUUUGAAAAAGCAACUACAGGUAACUCUAUGGCCAUAACAUUAAUUGAUUUCCCACAUUAAUUUAGACUUCAACAUGUGUAUCCUUCUAACAAAUACUCGUUGCUUAUAUUUGAACAUUAUAAAAAAUCUAAAUCUGUUUCAUAGCUUCUUGAUAAGUUGAGGUUCAGUGGAUCAUUUGCAGGUCAGUACUUGUGGAUCUAGCCACUCGUUGGUUCGAUUUGCAGUUCAAGGCAUGAGCAAAGUUACACCUCUAUCACAUUUUCGUGGUUUGGGUCUGUUAUACUUUAAAUAUUAUCUAGGAUUUGAUCAUGUGAAGCUUGGGCAUUCUAUAAUGAAGGAUGGGCGUGUGAUUUUGAGCCUAUAGUUGUGUAUUUUAUAAAUGGCAGUAUAUGUGUUUAGAUGUCCAUUCAAAAAACUUAUUUGUACAGUUAUUCACCUAUUGUAUUAAAGUUAUUGUACUAUUUAGUCUUGUCUUCUACUAAUAAUUUAGAUGUUGUAACAGCCAAGGCAAAAAAAUUAGGAGUUAGAAGCAUUAGUCAAGUCUGCUUGAUUGCUCUUUCUAAUAUAAAGUGUGUGUUUGUGUUAAAUAGCAUAGGUGUUAGUGUCCUGACUUGAUGCCAUUUUGAUAUUUCUGUAAAAAUCAAUUAUGCUCCCUCGGGAAUUGGAUCAGAGGGUUUCGUUUGAAGCCUUGCAUUUUUGGGGUUAGUGUAUGCUACUAGUUUGAAGUAGUGAAAAACAAAAGGCAUUUUUUUAACUUGAAAGGGCAGAUCUUGAGUGGUUUCAUGGAUUCGUAAAGUAAGCCUUGUAUGACGUUUAGCCCAACAACAUACGGAGUUAAUUGACUUUCAUAUCUCAUGGUUUCGCAAUAAUCUUAGAUUAAUUUUAGGAAAAUCAUGAACAUCGUAGUUUGUUUUAGAUGCGAUUUAAUCUAUCAUCGUGGUUGUCUCCAUGUUCGCGUGACAUAAUUACGAUCCUAAAAACAAAAUUGGAG
Molecule: long non-coding RNA, 1525 nt
Filed under: Nicotiana tabacum (common tobacco)
Lineage: Eukaryota; Viridiplantae; Streptophyta; Magnoliopsida; Solanales; Solanaceae
Description: long non-coding RNA (NTAB_LNC005932)
Source: RNAcentral